GUCUACAGCUAAGUUACCCUGAAUGUAUCCACACCCGUUUGACCUCAGAAGCUAAGCAGAGUCAAGCCUGGCUAGUACUUGGGUAGAUGAAAUAAUCUCACAGCGUAGUGGCGU
RNAcentral lists this ribosomal RNA (114 nucleotides) under Mus spicilegus (steppe mouse). Lineage: Eukaryota; Metazoa; Chordata; Mammalia; Rodentia; Muridae. The record is from RNAcentral.